CAGGCCUAACACAUGCAAGUCGAACGAAGCCUUCGGGCUUAGUGGCGGACGGGUUAGUAACGCGUGGGAAUGUACCCUUCACUACGGAAUAGUCCCUGGAAACGGGGUUUAAUACCGUAUACGCCCUUCGGGGGAAAGAAUAUCGGUGAUGGAUCAGCCCGCGUUAGAUUAGGUAGUUGGUGGGGUAAUGGCCUACCAAGCCUACGAUCUAUAGCUGGUUUGAGAGGAUGAUCAGCAACACUGGGACUGAGACACGGCCCAGACUCCUACGGGAGGCAGCAGUGGGGAAUCUUAGACAAUGGGGGAAACCCUGAUCUAGCCAUGCCGCGUGAGUGACGAAGGUCUUAGGAUCGUAAAGCUCUUUCAACUGUGAAGAUAAUGACGGUAGCAGUAGAAGAAACCCCGGCUAACUCCGUGCCAGCAGCCGCGGUAAUGCGGAGGGGGUUAGCGUUGUUCGGAAUUACUGGGCGUAAAGCGCACGUAGGCGGACUAUUAAGUCAGGGGUGAAAUCCCGGGGCUCAACCCCGGAACUGCCUUUGAUACUGCUAGUCUAGAGUUCGAGAGAGGUGAGUGGAAUUCCGAGUGUAGAGGUGAAAUUCGUAGAUAUUCGGAAGAACACCAGUGGCGAAGGCGGCUCACUGGCUCGAUACUGACGCUGAGGUGCGAAAGUGUGGGUAGCAAACAGGAUUAGAUACCCUGGUAGUCCACACCGUAAACGUUGAAUGCCAGUCGUCAGGGGGCUUGCCCCUUGGUGACACACCUAACGGAGUAAGCAUUCCGCCUGGGG
This 787-nucleotide ribosomal RNA is filed under the name uncultured bacterium. RNAcentral describes it as "bacterial SSU rRNA". It matches the Rfam family "Bacterial small subunit ribosomal RNA", at positions 43 to 878 of the family's 1533-position model. The record is from RNAcentral.